AGGAUUAUAAUUUAAAUAAAAUAUUUGAAUUGCAAUCAAAAAUUACUAUUACUAGUUAAUCUUA
RNAcentral lists this transfer RNA (64 nucleotides) under Cephus sareptanus. Its description in RNAcentral is "tRNA-Ala". RNAcentral also lists the same sequence under 1 other name. The record is from RNAcentral. Lineage: Eukaryota; Metazoa; Arthropoda; Insecta; Hymenoptera; Cephidae.